RNAcentral lists this non-coding RNA (23 nucleotides) under Cricetulus griseus (Chinese hamster). The record is from RNAcentral. Lineage: Eukaryota; Metazoa; Chordata; Mammalia; Rodentia; Cricetidae.
AACCAGACUGCAAACAAUAAAGC